RNAcentral lists this ribosomal RNA (460 nucleotides) under uncultured bacterium. Its description in RNAcentral is "partial 16S ribosomal RNA". It matches the Rfam family "Bacterial small subunit ribosomal RNA", at positions 338 to 795 of the family's 1533-position model. The record is from RNAcentral.
CCUACGGGAGGCAGCAGUGAGGAAUAUUGGUCAAUGGACGCAAGUCUGAACCAGCCAUGCCGCGUGCAGGAUGACGGCUCUAUGAGUUGUAAACUGCUUUUGUACGAGGGUAAACCCCGGUACGUGUAUCGGGUUGAAAGUAUCGUGCGAAUAAGGAUCGGCUAACUCCGGUCCAGCAGCCGCGGUAAUACGGAGGAUCGGAGCGUUAUCCGGGUUUAUUGGGUUUAAAGGGUGCGUUGGGGGGUCGAUAAGUUAGAGGUGAAAUGUUGGGGCUCAACCCCGAAACUGCCUCUAAUACUGUUGGACUAGAGAAUAGUUGCGGUAGGCGGAAUGUAUGGUGUAGCGGUGAAAUGCAUAGAGAUCAUACAGAACACCGAUUGCGAAGGCAGCUUACCAAACUACAUCUGACGUUGAGGCACGAAAGCGUGGGUAGCAAACAGGAUUAGAUACCCUAGUAGUC